CUAAGUUGCCCAGGCUGGCGUCAAGUACUGGGGAUCGAACUCUGGUCCUUGUGCUUUCAAGGCAGGCAGUGGAACCACUGAGCUAAAUCCCCGGCCCUAGCCUCAAGCUUUUGAUCUUCCUGCCCCAGCCUCCCAAGCAGCUGGGGUUACAGGCCUGUGCCACCAUCCAUGGCCUUGGUGGCCUCUUCUGAUCCUUCUCUUUGCUGGGAAAGAGGGGUCCUUGGCUAGUGGCGGGUGGGUCAGACAGUUGAUUUGAGUAUCGGACCAUGUGGGUAGACCUCAGACUCGAGGUGGAUUGAAGGGAAAAGCAGGUUUCAGGGUGGAGACCUGUAGGGCAGGAAGGAGGAGCUGUCAGGUUCCCAGGCAGAGCUGUGACAUGGGUGUGACUCAGCCCACCGUGCUGGCCUCACUGGGAGGUCGCCAAGUGGGUGUGGUGGCCUUUGCUGGGGAGGCAUAGCCUGAUGUUGCUCCAGCUCCAGUCCCCUCGUGCACACAGACCUUGCCUGAGACCUGGAUGGGCAGGCUGAGCUGUCUCUGAUGCCCCAACCCUGGCCCAGGGUUGGGGAGGGCUCUCCCCUCCCUCUCCUCCCCAGUUCCUGUGUGCCCUGGCAUCCUAUGCUGCCACUGGCUCUGAUUGACAACCUCCGGGUGACCCCAGGAACCCUCCAGAUCACUUGGCAUCCCUUGCAGAGGCCUGGUGGCCUUGUACACAUCGCAUAGACCCAGAGCUGGUGCCAGAUCCAUCGACUGGCAUAGCUGAUUCAUCAUGCACUUUUUUUACCUUGGGACAUGGGGAGAUAAAUGUUGAGACGAUUCCUGGUUCAGCAGUGGGCCCUGAAAUAUUAGGAACUGCAGAGGGCGCAUACUCAGGACUGGAAGUGGCUGUGGGUUGAGGCAUUGCCCUGUUAACAGCCCUCUGUUGGGUUGGAGCUGGCAGGUCGGGGGAGAGGGGAGGCCUCCCUGCCUGGCCCUGCUUCCCUGAGGCUCUGGAUGCAGGUCUGGGCCAGCAGGAGCAGUGACAGUGGCUCGAGGGGUGGGUGUCUUGUAUUACAGAGGAAACCAGGCCAUGGUCUUCCUGCUUCAAAGCUGGAAACCUGUUCUCUGGCUCACGUGUGCUUGACUCUCUUGGAGCAUGGCCACCCAGCUGAGGCGCAGCCCUGGCCAGGGCCCAAGACUUUCAGUUGCCAGAUGCCUGACUUUCACUCCUCUGCAGGCUGGGGCCCGGGGAUGGUGUCGUUGCACCUGGGCGUGUGACAGAUCCAUGACAUCAGCUUGAUUUGGCAUACAUUGCUGCACUCCAGGGGUGAGCACCUAGGAGACCACCCUCAAGCCCUGAGUCAUCUCAGCCCAGCUCCGGGCCUGGGUGAUCUGUCUCGACCAGAGGGGUGGCCAUGGCUCUUCUCACAGAGACCUGCAGCGCUGUUUCCUGACCCUGUUCCUCAGAAGCAGGCCUGGGAAUGCAGGAGAGUGAAUCCCAGAGGAUUGGUGUAGGGAGGAUGGUAAUCUCCCUCACUUGGGAUGGGGGAUGGCACGUCCCUUCUGUGUAGGAGGAGGGGGCAGGCAGGUACUUUCUGCAUGGAAAGAGUCAUGACAUCCUGUGUUGUGACCUUUGCAACUGGACACCUGGCCUAGAGCCUGAAAUUGCCAUCUGCCCAGGGGCCAGGCAUGGUCCACAUUGUAGAUGGGGAACUACAGUUUUGGCCAGUGAAGUCACUUGGCUAAAAUCUCCCCAGCUCCUGGGAGUGGAGCUGGCAGCAGGAUCCUCCCUGCUUCCUCUCUGAGCUGCACGGGGUGGGAACAGUGAGCUCACCCAGCCUCCUGGGUAAUCAGUGAGGAAGUGCAGCCAUCUCCACUCCAGCCUGUGAGUCCUCCUGACUCUCGGUGGUCCCCACACGGGGAGCACUGUGACCUCUAUCCCACUUGGCUGAGGAGAGCGUGUCUUCCCUGGCAGCCUGCUGCAGCCUGGGCAGUUUGGGGCCAGGCCGCCUGGUAAGGUGUCAGAGCAGAAAGACCCAGAAGCAUGGCCUGGCCGCUGCUUCCGGCCUGGCCCGAGGCCACCGAGACGUCUGGAGCAAGCCAGAUGCAGGUCUGCCUGAUCACAGAGCCUGCCGUCAUCUGUCCCGGAGUCAGCCUCACUGCUGCCCCUCUGCCUGCUUCCUCUUGGCUGCUUGCUUGGUUGUUCAGUGUAGUAAUCAGAAUGCUGAUUACUUUAGAAACUCUGAAAAUUACAGAAAAAAAGUUAAAACAUU
Non-coding RNA from Heterocephalus glaber (naked mole-rat), 2249 nucleotides. Lineage: Eukaryota; Metazoa; Chordata; Mammalia; Rodentia; Bathyergidae. The record is from RefSeq and is a predicted model, not a curated record.